Molecule: long non-coding RNA, 1048 nt
Organism: Brachypodium distachyon (stiff brome)
Lineage: Eukaryota; Viridiplantae; Streptophyta; Magnoliopsida; Poales; Poaceae
Exons: 4
Source: RefSeq, a predicted model, not a curated record
GUUCCACUCUUCCGUUCUCCCCUUUCUCCCCACUUCCGCCCGCUUCAAUGGCGACUCCCCGUGCCGGCCAGCCGCCCCGCUGCCGCCCUAGUUUCCCGCCCCGGCACCGCGCUGCCGCCGUCGUCCCCCGCGUUCUCGCGCGGCCUCCCCGCGCCGACCGCCCGCUUCUCUGGAGAAAGCCGCCGACGAAGCACACGAGUACCCGUCGCUCAGGCCCCUCGACCCGUCGCAAGAGGAAGACCCGUAUCCUGACGAGGUAAUUUCCUGUUCCUUCCCUCGUCCGGUUGGCAUCGCGUCGCUCUUUGUUUAUCUCCUGAACGCUGACGCUUUGGUUCAUGGACGCGAAAUGUGGUGCUGGGAUGGAGGCGGACGACCUCAAUUUCUACCGGAUUGGGUACGUGCAGAUGAUGCGUGCCUACAGGAUCGAGUUCCUGGAAGGGCCGGAUAAGAUGGGGUGUAUUCUUCCCGGGACGUCGAGCCGCUCUGCAGAGCUAGAGUUGUGCCAGUCGCUUCAAUACUUACACCAAACCAAUUUGAAGUUGAACUACUCACGGGAUUGAGCAGUGCCGCAUAAGCGAUGCAGAAGCAAGACCAGAGAUUAAUUUCAAAUAAGCUUUGGCUCGACUUGGAGAGGCAAAGAAAACAUAUGCGGGAGGGUUUCGGUCUGUGCUCGUCGGCGGCGAGGUCUAGUUGGUUGUCUAGAGAGUUGCUCAUUUACUCUGUUCGCUUACUCAAGCUUUUUCUUGACUAAUUAUGCUGCCUGCUUCGGGCGGAUGCGGCGAGGCGAAGGCAAGUCCAGACGAGGCUUCCCAUCUCUUCUCAUUGGUGGCACAAUCUGCUAGCCCCGUCUGGUGGUUCCUUUGUUUUUGUUUGCGGCGAAUGGGAGUAUGAGACGCACCGGCUAGUUGUUAUCUUAAAUUGCUCACUGUUCUAAUUAUUCGCACAUAACUGUAUCAUGCAAUAACAAGAUUCUCAAUGCGCAAUUGAAUCUAUGUUUUAAUUAAAAUCUAACAUUGUUAGCUUAUAUAUAUAUUCACUUGAAUUGCAA